Molecule: long non-coding RNA, 3683 nt
Organism: Passer domesticus (house sparrow)
Lineage: Eukaryota; Metazoa; Chordata; Aves; Passeriformes; Passeridae
Exons: 2
Source: RefSeq, a predicted model, not a curated record
UGCAACAAUGUGGGUGAAUUACGGCUGCAGAAAGGGAAAACUCAUUCGAUUUAUUUCUAAAAACGGAAAGGAUCCUAAAAUAAAAUCAUAUUGUUUGGGUCUCAGACAGCACUGAGAGGCAGGGGAAGGAGGGAAGGGAAAGGUAAUGGCUUUGAGACGGCGCCGCUGGAAGAGCCCGGGCAGAUUUUGGGAGUUUGUGCAGGAGCCCUUCCCAGCCACUGUGACCAGAGCCAUGAUGUGGAAGGAGAAAGGAACCCCUGAGCUGCAUUUCUGGAGCCUGGUAAUAAAAUAACCUACCUGUGGUGAUUCUACCUGCAUAACAGAUUAGAGCCAAUAUUUCUAUAGUUACACCUUUCACAGAAUGAUCAGAAAGAAAAUUCUUUUCCUCAACCAGCACACAAAUAAAGGCAGAUAUUUUCCUUAAGAAAAAAAUAAUGAUAAUUAAAAAAUCGAUGAAAGAAAGGGAAAACAUUCUGCAGAUGAUGAGACAGUAACGACAACCUAAUGCAAGUCAUUCCAAUAUAGAGGACAGCAUUAACUGCACCAUAAUCCAAUGGAUUUCCAACAUUUAAAAACUUUCAUGGUGUCUUUUAGGCACAAAAAAAGUACAUAAACUGUAGGAGUUGAUUUUUCCAUGAGUUUUUUACACUUAAUAAUGUAAUUCUUUGGUAUGAUUAAAUGUCUUUACAAAGGAAAAGGAAUUUCAUUCUUCUAUGCAACUUCUCAUGAGCUGUUUUUGUUGUCAAACAGAGCAGAUGACAGUUUCAUUUUUUUCCCAUUGCUCUUUACUACUCUGAGAAGAAAAAAUGUUUAAAAGCCAAUUCUGCUAACUUCUACAGGUAGGAUUCUCUGCAGCUACUUUGAGUCAACAUGACAAAGCAGCAAUAACACAAUUGGGCUGUUCAGUCCCUUAAAACAAUGAGGAAGGCCAAAGAAUGGAAUUCUGAAGCAAAAUAUGUAUAAAAAAUAUAAUAAAAUAUGUAUAAAACUACAGAUAAUAAAUAAUUUAUUCCUUUAACAUUCAGCACAGACUUUGCUGGUAUUUUUCACUGGAAGCUAAGGACAAACUUUCCUUCAAUGCAGCCUUAAACAUGAAAGUUGGGAAGGUUUGUGAACACCAGGCUGCAGCCCAGGCCAUGCUGCUGCCUCACUCUCCUAUUUUUCACCUUUCCUCUCUUUCAAGCCCUGAAAGCACAGCAUAAAGGUGCUGAAAACACACAAAAACAUCAGGGCCGGUACAAAAAGCAAGAGAACAGGAAAGAUUCAAGUCUUUGACUGACAUGGAUGGAUUAGACUUGCCCAAUCCAGGCGUUUGAUGCAGGCAUGGGAUCAGCUAGAGGAAAGGGAGCCUGAGUCAUCAGCUCCAUCAAAGGCAAGGUCUGGGGACGUCUGGGUGAGCUCUGUGUGAGCAGGAACCAGCCCUGCAUUCAGAACUUUUAAUUACCCUCACCCAGGCAGCAGCAUCAGCGACUGAAAUCCCCAGAUUACCUUGAUUGCUCUGUCAUUAUCUGUCAUCAGCUGCUGCUUCUCAUCUUCCAACUUCUGUGCAGCUUCCUGGAGCCGCUGCUCCACCGCAAGCUGCUGCCGGCUGUUCUCCUCUGUCAGGAAGGAAAUGGUUGUCUUCAGUUCUGCUAUCUCCUGAAAAGAAAGCAGCGUGUUGAAGCUCCCCUCAGUAAAAUCCAUGCAUUUUGCAUUUUUUUAAUAUAAACAUGGCACUGGCAAGCUCUGCUGCGUGAGGGGAUGUUUGAAAUUAGCACGCUGCGCACUGGCAGGGCAUGGAACUCCACGCAGAGAAAAGCAAUAGAGCAAGGCUGUAAAUGACAAGAAUCGCUGAACACAAAAUAUUUGGAAGUGUUUUCCACUGUGACAUUCCAAAAUAUUUGCUCAUGAGAACAAAGCACAUCUGUGAUUUUCAAACUGCAGCCUGCUCCCCGUCUUGCACCGCUCUGAAAGCAGGAGUGAGAGUUUACACUGGAAUCUGCUGCUCCUUUUCCCGGGGGAUAUCUUACACCUUGAUACUGCCGAGAAGAAAAACGCCCACAUUCACACACUGGAAUGAAAUUUAAACCUGACAUUGACAUUUCUGACCUGCUGAAAGGAGCAGAUUUCGCUGAGCAAUACAGUGAGGACCUGACUCCACAUCCAGGACCUUCAUCCAGACCUUUUAGGUGAUUCACUUGUCAUUUGUUGAAUUGUAUUUGUUUUACCUUUUUCAUCACUGGGGAAAGUCAUAACUAACCCUGAUCCUUUAGGCAUAUUUACAGAAUUUUAUACUGACAUGUCAUCACCCAGCAAAGCACUUAAACAUGUGGGAGAGUCACUGACUUUAAUGUAUAUACUCAAGCUUAAGGUUAAGCCUCUGUAGCAGCAUAUUAUAGAAUAAUUCUAAAAGCACUUUAGCACACAGGCAGUUCAGGGAGAGACUACCAGAGUGCUUAGACUUUGCCAGGCCUCCUCACUGGCAGAGAAACAUCUAUAUUAAUUACAUGGUUAUUUAGGAAAAAAAAAAAGUUAAAAAACCCCUAAUAAUAGGCCAGGACUAGUGUAAGAAGAACUGUGCUACAAAUGAAGGUACUAAAAUCACUGGAAAAGGGGAAAAAGCUGAUUAAAAACUCUGUAGUAAAUUUAUUUCUCUUUACCUACCUGAAAAGCCCAGGAAGUAACCCAGAUUAUGUGUAAAACCUACCCUUGUAUUUCUGUAUUGCUCUUCUAAAUAAGAAAUACAUAUUUCAAAAGAUAAUACCCAUCAAAAAAAAGGGGUUUUGAGACCAAUACGCCGAAGUUUAGAGAUUAUCUCAAUAGGGUGCAAUUCUUUAGCCAGGAUUAAGCAGGUUUCUGGGUCUGCAGUUCAGGUAAUUGUUUAGAAGACAGAUAAUUUGCAGAAAUGUGUUUUUACCAGGUGUGUAAUGCACAGGAGAAAGAAGAAGAAAGCAAUGGAUUAUACAAAUUAUUAAGAUAACAACUUGAUCCUAUGCAAAACUAUGAGUAUGGUUCCUUUUGUCAUUUUAGAAAGAAAACAAAUUAGCAAACUUCUCAAUAUAACACAAACCUGAGAUUUAAAGCUUUUACCAGGUUGAGACCCUGAUCUAGCCCAAGAGUUCUGAAAUCCAAGCAAGAAAAUUUCAGCAGGAAUUGAUGAAGAAAGAUCUGCUUUGUGCAGAACUUUUUAGAGCAAAAAUUUCUAUUUACUUUGUAUAAACUUCAGAGGAAAUUUCUUGAAAUAUCUUCUCUGUGUGGGUGUUAAAAGUGAAUGUUCCAAGAGGCCACAGAGAGAAAGAUUGGACAGAUGUUGUCAGCAAGGCGACCACAAGAAAAGUUGCAAUCGACCAAUUAUUAACAGUGAGCUACAAAAAAACCCCAAAGCCAAGCGUGUCCAAGUAACUUGGGGGAUUUGAUUUAAACCCGCACAAGUAAAGAAAUUCAGACAUCAGGGUGAAACUGUUUUAUUGAGCCAAACAGCCCUGACAGACGAUGGAUGUGUUGUGUCUGCCCCAGAAGUGCUGAGGAACUGGGUCCAGCUCUUGCCAGUAAAAUGCCCCAGCUACAGCAAAGCCACCUUAAUACAAAACAUGUCCCCAAAUCUUGAGACUGUUCUGCAGGCCAAUAAAUAUUAUAUGACAUAAUAAAUUUUGCCAGUCUGACAAAAUUUAUUAUGACAUUUAGGUUAAAAAGUUCUUGCCCUA